CAGUCGCCGCGGUAAUACGGAGGGUGCAAGCGUUAAUCGGAAUUACUGGGCAUAAAGCGCACGCAGGCGGUCUGUCAAGUCAGAUGUGAAAUCCCCGGGCUUAACCUGGGAACUGCAUUUGAAACUGGCAGGCUAGAGUCUUGUAGAGGGGGGUAGAAUUCCAGGUGUAGCGGUGAAAUGCGUAGAGAUCUGGAGGAAUACCGGUGGCGAAGGCGGCCCCCUGGACAAAGACUGACGCUCAGGUGCGAAAGCGUGGGGAGCAAACAGGAUUAGAGACCCGAGUAGUCCCUGUCUCUUAUAA
Molecule: ribosomal RNA, 301 nt
Filed under: uncultured bacterium
Lineage: Bacteria
Description: partial 16S ribosomal RNA
Rfam family: Bacterial small subunit ribosomal RNA
Source: RNAcentral